AAAACUGACACCGUAACUUCGGGAGAAGGUGUGCCCUUUGGCGUAACGAACUUCGCGUUCGGCGCGUCGGAGGGUUGCAUAGAAAUGGGGGUUGUGACUGUUUACUAAAAACACAGCACUCUGCUAAGUCGAAAGACGACGUAUAGGGUGUGAUGCCUGCCCGGUGCUGGAAGGUUAAGGGGACGUGUCAGCGCAAGCGAAGCACCGAACCGAAGCCCCAGUAAACGGCGGCCGUAACUGUAACGGUCCUAAGGUAGCGAAAUUCCUUGUCGGGUAAGUUCCGACCUGCACGAAUGGCAUAACAACAUCCCCGCUGUCUCGACCAGGGACUCAGCGAAAUUGUAUUGGGGGUGAAGAUACCCUCUACCCGCGGCAAGACGGAAAGACCCCAUGAACCUUUACUGCAACUUGGCAGUGAGUUUCGGAUCAUUCUGCGUAGGAUAAGUGGGAGGCAUUGAAAGCGGGCUUCUGGGUUCGCUGGAGCCAACGUUGAAAUACCACUCUGGAUGAUCUGGGAUUCUAACCUGCGCCCAUUACCUGGGCGAGGGACACUGCCUGGUGGGCAGUUUGACUGGGGCGGUCGCCUCCUAAACAGUAACGGAGGCGUGCGAAGGUUCCCUCAGCCUGAUUGGAAACCAGGCGUAGAGUGCAAACGCACAAGGGAGCUUAACUGCGAGACCGACAGGUCGAGCAGGUGCGAAAGCAGGCGUUAGUGAUCCGGUGGUUCCACAUGGAAGGGCCAUCGCUCAUCGGAUAAAAGGUACUCUGGGGAUAACAGGCUGAUCACUCCUGAGAGUUCACAUCGGCGGAGUGGUUUGGCACCUCGAUGUCGGCCCAUCGCAUCCUGGGGCUGGAGCAGGUCCCAAGGGUUCGGCUGUUCGCCGAUUAAAGCGGUACGCGAGCUGGGUUUAAAACGUCGUGAGACAGUUUGGUCCCUAUCUGCCGUGGGCGUUGGAUACUUGAGAGGAGCUGACCAUAGUACGAGAGGACCUGGUUGGACGUACCUCUAGUGUGCCGGUUGUCACGCCAGUGGCAUAGCCGGGUAGCUAUGUACGGAACGGAUAACCGCUGAAAGCAUCUAAGCGGGAAGCCGGCCUCAAGACAAUGUAUCCCGGGCGCAAGCCCCUAAAGACCCCUUGUAGACCACGAGGUUGAUAGGCCAGAGGUGAAAGUGCAGCAAUGCAUGGAGCUGACUGGUACUAAUAGGUCGUGUGGCUUGACCUA
Molecule: ribosomal RNA, 1224 nt
Filed under: metagenome
Description: bacterial LSU rRNA
Rfam family: Bacterial large subunit ribosomal RNA
Source: RNAcentral